Molecule: ribosomal RNA, 789 nt
Filed under: Bacillus sp. IFM22
Lineage: Bacteria; Bacillati; Bacillota; Bacilli; Caryophanales; Bacillaceae
Description: bacterial SSU rRNA
Rfam family: Bacterial small subunit ribosomal RNA
Source: RNAcentral
UAAGGGCUCGCAGGCGGUUUCUUAAGUCUGAUGUGAAAGCCCCCGGCUCAACCGGGGAGGGUCAUUGGAAACUGGGGAACUUGAGUGCAGAAGAGGAGAGUGGAAUUCCACGUGUAGCGGUGAAAUGCGUAGAGAUGUGGAGGAACACCAGUGGCGAAGGCGACUCUCUGGUCUGUAACUGACGCUGAGGAGCGAAAGCGUGGGGAGCGAACAGGAUUAGAUACCCUGGUAGUCCACGCCGUAAACGAUGAGUGCUAAGUGUUAGGGGGUUUCCGCCCCUUAGUGCUGCAGCUAACGCAUUAAGCACUCCGCCUGGGGAGUACGGUCGCAAGACUGAAACUCAAAGGAAUUGACGGGGGCCCGCACAAGCGGUGGAGCAUGUGGUUUAAUUCGAAGCAACGCGAAGAACCUUACCAGGUCUUGACAUCCUCUGACAAUCCUAGAGAUAGGACGUCCCCUUCGGGGGCAGAGUGACAGGUGGUGCAUGGUUGUCGUCAGCUCGUGUCGUGAGAUGUUGGGUUAAGUCCCGCAACGAGCGCAACCCUUGAUCUUAGUUGCCAGCAUUCAGUUGGGCACUCUAAGGUGACUGCCGGUGACAAACCGGAGGAAGGUGGGGAUGACGUCAAAUCAUCAUGCCCCUUAUGACCUGGGCUACACACGUGCUACAAUGGACAGAACAAAGGGCAGCGAAACCGCGAGGUUAAGCCAAUCCCACAAAUCUGUUCUCAGUUCGGAUCGCAGUCUGCAACUCGACUGCGUGAAGCUGGAAUCGCUAGUAAUCGCGGAUCA